Molecule: non-coding RNA, 114 nt
Organism: Acanthosepion pharaonis
Lineage: Eukaryota; Metazoa; Mollusca; Cephalopoda; Sepiida; Sepiidae
Source: the annotation of a GenBank genome assembly
UUACGGCCACAUCACGUUUAAGCACUAGUUCCCGUACGAUCACCGAAGUUAAGCAACGUCAAUCCUGGUCAGCACCAAGAUGGGUGACCUCUUGGGAAUACCAGUUGCUGUAAG